Molecule: transfer RNA, 73 nt
Filed under: Caudoviricetes sp.
Lineage: Duplodnaviria; Heunggongvirae; Uroviricota; Caudoviricetes
Also listed under: 1 other name
Description: tRNA-Ala
Rfam family: tRNA
About the family: Transfer RNA (tRNA) molecules are approximately 80 nucleotides in length.
Source: RNAcentral
GGGAUUGUAGCUCAGUUGGGAGAGCACCUGCCUUGCAAGCAGGGGGUCGUCGGUUCAAGUCCGAUCAGUUCCA